AGUCAAGAGUCUUUGGCAUCGUUUUGGUGAGCAAUUUUCCUUUGCCUAUUAGAGGGUGAAAGAAAUG
Non-coding RNA from Agrobacterium sp. DSM 25559, 67 nucleotides. The record is from Rfam. Lineage: Bacteria; Pseudomonadati; Pseudomonadota; Alphaproteobacteria; Hyphomicrobiales; Rhizobiaceae.